UACGUAGGGUGCAAGCGUUGUCCGGAAUUAUUGGGCGUAAAGAGCUCGUAGGCGGUUUGUCGCGUCUGCUGUGAAAACUCGGGGCUUAACUCCGGGCCUGCAGUGGGUACGGGCAGACUAGAGUGCGGUAGGGGAGACUGGAAUUCCUGGUGUAGCGGUGAAAUGCGUAGAUAUCGAGAGGAACACCUGCGGCGAAGGCGGGUUGCUGGGCUGACACUGACGCUGAUGUGCGAAAGCUAGGGGAGCGAACGGG
Molecule: ribosomal RNA, 253 nt
Filed under: uncultured bacterium
Lineage: Bacteria
Description: partial 16S ribosomal RNA
Rfam family: Bacterial small subunit ribosomal RNA
Source: RNAcentral